RNAcentral lists this ribosomal RNA (395 nucleotides) under uncultured bacterium. RNAcentral describes it as "bacterial SSU rRNA". It matches the Rfam family "Bacterial small subunit ribosomal RNA", at positions 358 to 770 of the family's 1533-position model. The record is from RNAcentral.
GGAAUAUUGGACAAUGGGGGCAACCCUGAUCCAGCCAUGCCGCGUGCGUGAAGAAGGCCUUAGGGUUGUAAAGCGCUUUCACUGGUGAAGAUGAUGACGGUAGCCAGAGAAGAAGCCCCGGCUAACUCCGUGCCAGCCGCCGCGGUAAUACGGAGGGGGCAAGCGUUGUUCGGAAUUACUGGGCGUAAAGGGCGCGUAGGCGGAACAUCAAGUUAGGGGUGAAAGGCCCGGGCUCAACCUGGGAACGGCCUCUAAAACUGAUGAUCUUGAGUCCGGAAGAGGAUGGCGGAAUUCCCAGUGUAGAGGUGAAAUUCGUAGAUAUUGGGAAGAACACCAGUGGCGAAGGCGGCUCUCUGGUCCACACCUGACGCUGAGGCGCGAAAGCGUGGGGAGCA